Molecule: transfer RNA, 74 nt
Filed under: Bacteroides graminisolvens
Lineage: Bacteria; Pseudomonadati; Bacteroidota; Bacteroidia; Bacteroidales; Bacteroidaceae
Also listed under: 2 other names
Description: tRNA-Arg
Rfam family: tRNA
About the family: Transfer RNA (tRNA) molecules are approximately 80 nucleotides in length. Their secondary structure includes four short double-helical elements and three loops (D, anti-codon, and T loops).
Source: RNAcentral
GCCUCAAUAGCAUAAUUGGAUAAUGCAACAGAUUUCUAAUCUGUCGAGUUCAGGUUCGAAUCCUGAUUGGGGUA